GGAUGUGAGGGCAAACUGGCUGCGACAUCUGUCACCCCAUUGAUCGCCAGGGUUGAUUCGACUGACCUGGCUGACUAGGUGGGUGUACCCUUCCCCUUCCUCCCUCACCGCUCCAUGUGUGUCCCUCCCAAAGUUGCGCACUCAGUCGGUCAAAGAGGACGACCAUCCCCGCUAGAAAAGUGGCAAACUGAGGAACGCAGCUGUAGAGGCUGGAAAAAGCAAGACACCAGAUUCUUCCACUACAUGGGAACAUGGCCCACCUUGGU
Molecule: small RNA, 266 nt
Filed under: Carlito syrichta (Philippine tarsier)
Lineage: Eukaryota; Metazoa; Chordata; Mammalia; Primates; Tarsiidae
Description: 7SK RNA (ENSTSYG00000022335.2)
Rfam family: 7SK RNA (bases 1-195)
About the family: 7SK was discovered as an abundant small nuclear RNA in the mid-70s but a possible function has only recently been suggested. Two independent studies have found that 7SK RNA binds the CDK9/cyclin T complex (known as elongation factor P-TEFb).
Source: Rfam by way of RNAcentral